GAGCGUGCAAUCGAUUGGUAUGGCUCCAAAUCAAACCAAAAUUAAAAAACCUAAAAACCAAAUUCACCUAAGAUUCUAACCGAACUGAACUAAACUAAGAGAAGAAUCGAAUCAAAUCAAAUCGAAUUGAAUUGGUUCGAUUCGAUUAAAAAUCAUCGGUUUUGCAAAUUCCCAAAGCCCCAAACUCUUAUAUUCUCAAACGAUACUGUUUCCGCACUUGAACAUUACCUUCCCCAAUCUUGGAUUACAAGCAAAACCCCGAUCCUCAGCAAAGAACUUUCCCAA
RNAcentral lists this unclassified non-coding RNA (285 nucleotides) under Hevea brasiliensis (rubber tree). Lineage: Eukaryota; Viridiplantae; Streptophyta; Magnoliopsida; Malpighiales; Euphorbiaceae. The record is from RNAcentral.